This 369-nucleotide ribosomal RNA is filed under the name uncultured organism. RNAcentral's name for it is "bacterial LSU rRNA". It matches the Rfam family "Bacterial large subunit ribosomal RNA", at positions 2099 to 2465 of the family's 2925-position model. The record is from RNAcentral.
CUUUACUGCACUUUUGCAGUGGCAACAGGGGGGUACUGUGUAGGAUAGGUGGGAGGCUUUGAAGCCGGGGCGCCAGCCCAGGUGGAGCCAACCUUGAAAUACCACCCUGGACGCUUCUGUUGUCUAACCGAGCCUGGUGAAGCCCGGGCCGGGACCCUGCAUGACGGGCAGUUUGACUGGGGCGGUCGCCUCCCAAACAGUAACGGAGGCGCGCGAUGGUGGGCUCAGGCCGGUCGGACAUCGGCCUUACGAGUGCAAUGGCAUAAGCCCGCCUGACUGCGAGAGCGACAGCUCGAGCAGAGACGAAAGUCGGCCAUAGUGAUCCGGUGGUCCCUCGUGGACGGGCCAUCGCUCAACGGAUAAAAGGUA